Molecule: ribosomal RNA, 369 nt
Filed under: Streptomyces sp. WPS136
Lineage: Bacteria; Bacillati; Actinomycetota; Actinomycetes; Kitasatosporales; Streptomycetaceae
Description: bacterial SSU rRNA
Rfam family: Bacterial small subunit ribosomal RNA
Source: RNAcentral
CGAACGGGUGAGUAACACGUGGGCAAUCUGCCCUGCACUCUGGGACAAGCCCUGGAAACGGGGUCUAAUACCGGAUACUGAUUGUCUUGGGCAUCCUUGAUGAUCGAAAGCUCCGGCGGUGCAGGAUGAGCCCGCGGCCUAUCAGCUUGUUGGUGAGGUAACGGCUCACCAAGGCGACGACGGGUAGCCGGCCUGAGAGGGCGACCGGCCACACUGGGACUGAGACACGGCCCAGACUCCUACGGGAGGCAGCAGUGGGGAAUAUUGCACAAUGGGCGCAAGCCUGAUGCAGCGACGCCGCGUGAGGGAUGACGGCCUUCGGGUUGUAAACCUCUUUCAGCAGGGAAGAAGCGAAAGUGACGGUACCUG